RNAcentral lists this transfer RNA (90 nucleotides) under Felis catus (domestic cat). It matches the Rfam family "tRNA". Rfam says of the family: Transfer RNA (tRNA) molecules are approximately 80 nucleotides in length. Their secondary structure includes four short double-helical elements and three loops (D, anti-codon, and T loops). Lineage: Eukaryota; Metazoa; Chordata; Mammalia; Carnivora; Felidae. The record is from Rfam by way of RNAcentral.
GCCUGGGUGGCUCAGUCAGUUAAGCAUCUGACUUCAGCUCAGGUCAUGAUCUCAUGGUUGGGUUCGUGAGUUCAAGCCCCACAUCAGGCU